ACCCCCUGGGUGCCGCAGCUAACGCAUUAAGUGCCCCGCCUGGGGAGUACGGUCGCAAGAUUAAAACUCAAAGGAAUUGACGGGGGCCGCAGGGAUGAGAGUGG
Molecule: ribosomal RNA, 104 nt
Filed under: uncultured bacterium
Lineage: Bacteria
Description: partial 16S ribosomal RNA
Rfam family: Bacterial small subunit ribosomal RNA
Source: RNAcentral